GGUCUUGUUGAAUUGUUAAACAUAUUUUUCUUUAAUCUGCAGAGGCACAAAAAAACAAAAAAACCCUCCAAAAAACGUUUAAUUUUCUUCUGCUUGAUUAUCGGCCUAGGCUUGCGCUACUUAUCAUUGCUGAGUCAGUUGUCUGUUUGAGCUACUUCUUUGAAGGAACAGUCGAUUAUUGGCAAGGGUGACUUUAUGUGUUUGGUUACUUAAGUGGAAGGACUGUGGAAAGUUUAACCUUACAUACAUACAUCUGACAGCACAGGAUCUGAGGAGGUUCAGCAGGUUCUGAGGUAACUGUCUACAAGAUGUUGUUUCCUGUCCAAAAGUUCUUUGCAAUUUUACCUUGAGAAACAUUAUCCUUAACAUAUUUGACCCGCACUAAGUACUAUGGCCAUCACACUGUCAUUUAUAAUUGUUUUAAUAACUCGUGUCUUAACUCAUUCCAUCAUGCAGAAAAUAAAAAAGCUGCAUGGUUCACUUUUACAUCACAAAAUGUUAGAAAUAUAAGCCGUUCAUAACAACCUGAAAAGUUGGAGUUUAAAAUGCAAACCAAUGAAAGCAGAAGUAGAAGACUACAAUGUCACAGAGCACACGGCGUCUAUUAUUGUGUAGACAUUUAUAAAUAAGAGCUUAAUAAAGACGCUUAAUUUCUUACGAAAUAUGCAGAUGGAGUGAUCUUUAUCAAAAAAGUGGAAGUCACGUCUGUGGCAAAACCCCUUGGACACAAGAACUUCAACAAUCUAUAGUGUGUGAGGCUGUUUAAGUAAAGGGUGGCUUGCACUUCUCGCCCACGUGUAACAAACCAUCUGUUGGGGGUUGUGGAUUUGAAACCUUAGUGUAGUAAAGUAGAUUUUGGGUAGGCUUUUAAGUGAUGUCUGCGAAUGCAGCACUAACAUCCACACCUUCCCAGCUGAUAAUUAGAGGCCUUAUAAGAAACAGCUGCGCUUCUCUACUACACGGAGGCAUUUGGCAUUCUUUUCCCAUCCAAGGUGGCUAAGCACUGCAGAGUGGUUUUAUUUCUUCAAGAAAGCUGCUCAUUUUAGUAUUGCCCUUUAGGGAGUGGAUCGUGUCACACUGCUGCUGUCUUGUUGUAGCCUUGUUGUCAUUUUACAAACGUUUAUGGACUGGCCUUGACUGACUCCUGGUUUAUGUGGUGAUACGGCCGCUUGUUGUGGGGUAGGCACGUGAGGUGGAAUCACCCCCUGAUGUACGACAGUCUACACACUGGGAAUAGGUAGCCUGCACCAUUUAGAUUGCAGUGUAAGUGACAGUGAGGUUUGCAGUGGAACUACACGGGUGAGUAAUUGGUGUCUGUGGGUUUUGUCAAACUUGGGGUGAACAAAAGCAGAAAAACUGUAAAAGAUGCUCUUUGUUGGAUUUAAUAUGAACAGCCACAUUCAUUCUAAUUUUUUUUUGCCUUGGCUUCAAUUAAGAUGUGUCUUUAAAUCUACGAUACCUUUCUUGUUCAAAAAGUUUACUGACAUAGUAAAGAAGUAGCUAGAGAACUCAGUAAGUAUGAACAGAAAUAGCUUAGGGACUCUUUCUCAAAGAGGAUUUCAUCAUCUGCAGCUCGUGG
Oreochromis niloticus (Nile tilapia) is the source of this 1579-nucleotide long non-coding RNA. RefSeq lists it as uncharacterized. Lineage: Eukaryota; Metazoa; Chordata; Actinopteri; Cichliformes; Cichlidae. The transcript is spliced from 3 exons. The record is from RefSeq and is a predicted model, not a curated record.